AUUGAACGCUGGCGGCAGGCCUAACACAUGCAAGUCGAACGGUAACAGGAAACAGCUUGCUGUUUCGCUGACGAGUGGCGGACGGGUGAGUAAUGUCUGGGAAACUGCCUGAUGGAGGGGGAUAACUACUGGAAACGGUGGCUAAUACCCCAUAACUUCGCAAGCCCAAAGAGGGGGACUUUCGGGCCUCUUGCCAUCGGAGGUGCCCAGAUGGGAUUAGCUAGUAGGUGGGGUAACGGCUCACCUAGGCGACGAUCCCUAGCUGGUCUGAGAGGAUGACCAGCCACACUGGAACUGAGACACGGUCCAGACUCCUACGGGAGGCAGCAGUGGGGAAUAUUGCACAAUGGGCGCAAGCCUGAUGCAGCCAUGCCGCGUGUAUGAAGAAGGCCUUCGGGUUGUAAAGUACUUUCAGCGGGGAGGAAGGGAGUAAAGUUAAUACCUUUGCUCAUUGACGUUACCCGCAGAAGAAGCACCGGCUAACUCCGUG
Molecule: ribosomal RNA, 490 nt
Filed under: uncultured bacterium
Lineage: Bacteria
Description: partial 16S ribosomal RNA
Rfam family: Bacterial small subunit ribosomal RNA
Source: RNAcentral